GUAGCAGCAAGGGACUCGCAAUGCAGGAUAACAUCAGCCCAUGAGAUAAACAGGGUUUCAGAUGCAGAAAAUCUCCUGGGCACUCUUCAGGUCGAAACUAUCCAAGUCCUUGUGGAGGUCUAUGAGGUUUCUCUGGACAUCAGCAUUUCUAAAGCUGCUAGAGUGGAUCACAUCCAGUUUGGGGACUGUCACGUUGGGACGCCAUACUCCGUGACCUUCACCAUCACCAAUCGCAGCAGAGUGGUGGAGAUGCAGUUUGAGUAGCUGGCAGCCUCCCUGUUUCACUUCUCCCCCGAGGUGCGACACCUCCCUGCUGGCUGUGCCAAGGACAUCACAGUAACCUUGGAAUCAAAUGUUCCAGUCACAUUCAGAGCGCACCCUGUAAAGUGUCAGGUGACCAGGAUUGCCUUCCAGCUGCCAGCAGAGGAGGUGACUGACUGGGAUGAGCAUCUGCACACUGUAAAGGGGAUGGAUAACACGAGGGACCCAGCAGCCGCGUGCCUUGUCGAGGAGAAGGACCUUCAUGGUUAUGAACCCAACCAGUUCUACAUAUUCCUUCCAGUGGACUUGCCGAGACCCUGAAGCCCCAUUGAGACAGGCAGCCGCCUUCUGCCUCACAGAGAGAGGUCAGAUCCAGCC
Molecule: long non-coding RNA, 639 nt
Organism: Cuculus canorus (common cuckoo)
Lineage: Eukaryota; Metazoa; Chordata; Aves; Cuculiformes; Cuculidae
Exons: 5
Source: RefSeq, a predicted model, not a curated record